GACGAACGCUGGCGGCGUGCUUAACACAUGCAAGUCGAGCGGUAAGGCCCUUUCGGGGGUACACGAGCGGCGAACGGGUGAGUAACACGUGGGUGACCUGCCCUCAGCUCUGGGAUAAAGCCUGGGAAACCGGGUCUAAUACUGGAUAUGACUCCAUGACGCAUGUUGUGGGGUGGAAAGCCUUGUGCGGCUGAGGAUGGGCCCGCGGCCUAUCAGCUUGUUGGUGGGGUGAUGGCCUACCAAGGCGACGACGGGUAGCCGGCCUGAGAGGGCGACCGGCCACACUGGGACUGAGACACGGCCCAGACUCCUACGGGAGGCAGCAGUGGGGAAUCUUGCGCAAUGGGCGAAAGCCUGACGCAGCGACGCCGCGUGAGGGAUGACGGCCU
RNAcentral lists this ribosomal RNA (389 nucleotides) under uncultured bacterium. Its description in RNAcentral is "bacterial SSU rRNA". It matches the Rfam family "Bacterial small subunit ribosomal RNA", at positions 28 to 417 of the family's 1533-position model. The record is from RNAcentral.